This 2456-nucleotide long non-coding RNA is filed under the name Homo sapiens (human). RNAcentral describes it as "HSALNT0256158". The record is from RNAcentral. Lineage: Eukaryota; Metazoa; Chordata; Mammalia; Primates; Hominidae.
AGGGCAGUGAUGUGUGAACUUGGGUAUAUGGGCACAGGAAGGAAAGUAAGCUGGGGGUCUACGGGGACCCCUCAAAGUCUGAAGUAUCCAGACUGGGUCUCGGCUGUCCAGGCAGGGCACAGGAGGGAGAGGGGCCUGGACAGGGCAGGAGGGCUAUUCAGGGCAGAUGCAAAGGCCAAGUCAAGGGCAGAGCGCAGGAGUGUGUGUUGGGGGCGGGGGUUGCCAGAUGUGGGAGGUGUUGGGGGAGGCCUCCGCGUAGCCGCAUGUGGGCUGUGGGGCAUUUGGUCAAUCCCAUGCCUGCCUGACCAGCUACCUGUGCAGCCAAUUCCACAGGCCCUAAUCCCUGUGUUUUGCUGGAAUCUUCCCUGGCAUCUGCUUUAGGCUUCCCAGCCCUGAGCCAUAAGGGAGGAGGCCCUUGCUGAGAGGGCCCCUCCUGGGAGAAACCCGAGACAGCCCCGAGUCAUGUGACCGGCACUGCACACCUGGGUCCGUGGGGUCCAAGGACUCAGGCCCAGCCUAAGGGAUGGUGUCUCACCCAGGAAGCUCAAGGUGGGCAGGGAGUGGGGGGCUGGCCCCCCACCCUCUCCAGGGCUCAGGGGCUGGUCGCUGAGCAGGACCUACAGCAGGAGGAGGCCUGGGGACCUGCUGAGACCAGGUGGCUGUCUCCAGGAAGCAGCCUUGCCCGUCUCCUGCCUCUGGGGUAGCCCUCAAGGCUGGGACCCCGCCUGCCAGCCCAGGAGGGCGCCAGGGGAUGCGCCACGAGGCUAACAGGUCCUAGGUGCCUUGUGGCAGCCUUCACUGGUGUCAGUUACUCCUGCUUCCCCGGCGCUCACGUGGCCCCGGCCACCCUUAGAUGAGGAAGGACGCUAACCUGGCAGAGGGUCAGGGAGGAAGGCUGGGGAGUUACUGCAAGGGGUGGGGGAGGGGACAGCUGGCAGGGCACAAGCCAACCUCCUCUUCCUCAGAACAAAUCCAGGAAGCAUUGCCCAGUGACCCUUCUGGGGACAGGCUGGCACCUGCCAGAAUGUGGAGUGGCAGGGAAAUGAAAUUCCCUGGGACCACUGUGAAAGGCGACUAAGCUACCGCCUGACCAAAGUGAGCCCCAGAGAGUUCUGUGGACAGCAGGGUUGCUACAGCCUGCCCUCAUGGGUACAGAGUACCCUCCUGGGAACACUACCAAGAUGGGGGAGACAGAGGCCACCUCCCCAUGCCUAACAGCUACUUAGAGUCCGGCCUAGCUCUGUCUGACCCAAAGACCAUGCCUUGCUCUUGACUUGCUCUUGACUUCUUGCUCUUUUUUUUUUUUUUUUUUUUGAGACAGAGUCUUGCUCUGUUACUCAGGCUGGAGCGCAAUGACAUGAUCUCGACUCACUGCAACCUCCACCUCCCAGGUUCGAGCGAUUCUCCUGCCCCAGCCUCCCCAGUAGCUGGUGCUACAGGCACACGCCAACACGCCGGGCUAAUUUUUGUAUUUUUAUUAGAGACGGGGUUUCAUCAUGUUGGCCAGGCUGGUCUUGAACUCCUGACCUCAGGUGAUCCGCCUGCCUCAGCCUCCCAAAGUGCGGGGACUUGGUCUUGACUUUGAAGCACCAGGGCCCCCCUGAGGGAGUGCGGGAAGAGCUGGAGAAGCCAAGGUCAAGAGUGGAAGGACUUGGGGAGUGGUGGAGCCUGGAGCUGUGUGCCCACUCCAGACCCUGGCUCUAGGGAGCCUGGACCCUGAAGCAGGGAUACAAAGCCCAUGGGCCUCAUCCCUUCCACUCAGGGGCAAGAAGAGGAGGCAAUGAUUAAUUUCUAAAAGGCUGAGCUCAAAAGGAGGAGGUGGGAGAUCGAGGAACAACUAAACCAACUUCUCUAUUGGAGGCCUUCUCAGCACUGUGAUUGUCAAUCUUUUUCCUACAAUUAUUUGACCAAAGAGCCCUUUUCUACCUUUUAAGGAGACUACAUUAAGCAAUUAUACAGGUUUGUUCCCUAGAGAGAAAUAAAUCACAUAUACAUACAUAGCAUGAGGUAUUGCCCAUAUAUUUGAGCGUGAGAACCCUUUCUUUAUGGAGCCUGGCACACAAAACAAGGGAAUUACUUAACAAACUGUUCCUUGGCAAUGAAUCUGCCAAGAAAAGCACUAGUGGCUGCACCUACCUUCAAAGCCAGCAGCUGCUUAUGGAGACUGUUUAAAUCUAUUACUUUAAAUGAGGGCUCGGCAAAGUUCUGUAAGGGCCAAGCAGUAAACGUUAUUAGUUUUGUGGCUAGUCUCUGCAGCAGCUGUUCAACUCUGCCACUGUAAUGUGAAAGUGGCCAUGCACAAUAGGUAAACAAAUGAGCAGGCUGUGUGCGAAUAAAACUUUAUUUCUAGACACUGAGAUUUGAACUUCAUGUAAUUUUCACAUAUCAUGAAAUAUAAUUCCGGUGUUGAUAUUUCCAAUAAUUUAAAAAUGUAAAAAUCAUUCUUAGCUCACCAG